UGGGGAAUUUUUGGACAAUGGGCGAAAGCCUGAUCCAGCAAUGCCGCGUGUGUGAAGAAGGCCUUCGGGUUGUAAAGCACUUUUGUCCGGAAAGAAAUCCUUGGCUCUAAUACAGUCGGGGGAUGACGGUACCGGAAGAAUAAGCACCGGCUAACUACGUGCCAGCAGCCGCGGUAAUACGUAGGGUGCAAGCGUUAAUCGGAAUUACUGGGCGUAAAGCGUGCGCAGGCGGUUUGCUAAGACCGAUGUGAAAUCCCCGGGCUCAACCUGGGAACUGCAUUGGUGACUGGCAGGCUAGAGUAUGGCAGAGGGGGGUAGAAUUCCACGUGUAGCAGUGAAAUGCGUAGAGAUGUGGAGGAAUACCGAUGGCGAAGGCAGCCCCCUGGGCCAAUACUGACGCUCAUGCACGAAAGCGUGGGGGAGCAAAACAGGAUUAGAUACCCUGGUAGUCCACGCCCUAAACGAUGUCAACUAGUUGUUGGGGACUUCAUUUCCUUAGUAACGUAGCUAACGCGUGAAGUUGACCGCCUGGGGAGUACGGUCGCAAGAUUAAAA
RNAcentral lists this ribosomal RNA (555 nucleotides) under uncultured bacterium. RNAcentral's name for it is "partial 16S ribosomal RNA". It matches the Rfam family "Bacterial small subunit ribosomal RNA", at positions 355 to 899 of the family's 1533-position model. The record is from RNAcentral.